UACGUAGGUGGCAAGCGUUGUCCGGAUUUAUUGGGCGUAAAGCGCCCGCAGGCGGCUCAGCAAGUUUCAGGUGAAAUCUCCCGGCUCAACUGGGAGGGGUCUUGGAAAACUGCUGGGCUUGAGGCAGGGAGAGGGAUGCGGAAUACCAGGUGUAGUGGUGAAAUGCGUAGAUAUCUGGUGGAACACCAGUGGCGAAGGCGGCAUCCUGGCCCUGUCCUGACGCUCAGGGGCGAAAGCGUGGGGAGCAAACCGG
RNAcentral lists this ribosomal RNA (253 nucleotides) under uncultured Chloroflexota bacterium. RNAcentral's name for it is "partial 16S ribosomal RNA". It matches the Rfam family "Bacterial small subunit ribosomal RNA", at positions 524 to 776 of the family's 1533-position model. Lineage: Bacteria; Bacillati; Chloroflexota. The record is from RNAcentral.